CAUCCUUGAUAUGCCUUUCCAUCCCUGAUCAUAUCGCUUGACAAUAUUCAUGGCCUGCUCGCCCAUCACUGUGCAUUACCAUGAUCCUGGGAAUGCAUGACCGCACCACCCAAUAUCUUCGGUCCACAGCCUACUCACACAUUGGGCACUGCCACGAUAUCGGCAUCCAAGUCUGCCCCAUCAAGUAAAUAUCUUCGAC
This 199-nucleotide long non-coding RNA is filed under the name Elaeis guineensis (African oil palm). Its description in RNAcentral is "long non-coding RNA (EGUI_LNC040634)". Lineage: Eukaryota; Viridiplantae; Streptophyta; Magnoliopsida; Arecales; Arecaceae. The record is from RNAcentral.